This 95-nucleotide Y RNA is filed under the name Callithrix jacchus (white-tufted-ear marmoset). Its description in RNAcentral is "Y RNA (ENSCJAG00000028007.3)". It matches the Rfam family "Y RNA". Rfam says of the family: Y RNAs are components of the Ro ribonucleoprotein particle (Ro RNP), in association with Ro60 and La proteins. The Y RNAs and Ro60 and La proteins are well conserved, but the function of the Ro RNP is not known. The record is from Rfam by way of RNAcentral. Lineage: Eukaryota; Metazoa; Chordata; Mammalia; Primates; Cebidae.
GGCCGGUCUGCGUACAGUGGUGUUAAGUAAUCACAGCCAGUUACAGAUUUCCUUGUUUCUUCUCCACCCCCACUGUUUCACUUGACUAGCCUUAA